This 458-nucleotide ribosomal RNA is filed under the name uncultured bacterium. Its description in RNAcentral is "partial 16S ribosomal RNA". It matches the Rfam family "Bacterial small subunit ribosomal RNA", at positions 29 to 507 of the family's 1533-position model. The record is from RNAcentral.
AGUGAACGCUGGCGGCAUGCCUAACACAUGCAAGUCGAACGAGACCACAGGGACUAGUGGCGCAUGGGGGUGUCGCGCGUCGGAAGCUUCACUUAGGUAUGGAAUAACUCUCCGACAGGGGUGAUAACGCCGGAUAAUGUCUUCGAACACAAGAUAUAUCGCACUUGGAUGGGCACGCGUUGAAUUAGCUAGUUGGUAGGGUAACAGCCUACCAAGGCGAAGAUGCGUAGCUGGUAAGAGGGGGAGGUCAGCUACCCUGGGACUGAGAACCGGUCGAGACACCUACGGUAGGCAGCAGUCGGGACUCUUACGCAAUGGGGGAGAGCGUGAUAUAGCACAAUCGGGUGAGUGAUGAAGGACUUAGGCUGGGAGAGCGAUGUUGUUCGGAAAGAAGAAAAGCUCUUUUACCCAGGAUGGUAAUGACGGUACCGAAAGAAUAAGCACCGGCUAACUCCGUG